This 253-nucleotide ribosomal RNA is filed under the name uncultured bacterium. RNAcentral describes it as "partial 16S ribosomal RNA". It matches the Rfam family "Bacterial small subunit ribosomal RNA", at positions 524 to 776 of the family's 1533-position model. The record is from RNAcentral.
UACGGAGGGUGCAAGCGUUAUCCGGAUUCAUUGGGUUUAAAGGGUGCGUAGGUGGGCAAGUAAGUCAGUGGUGAAAUCUCCGGGCUUAACCCGGAAACUGCCAUUGAUACUAUUUGUCUUGAAUACUGUGGAGGUCAGCGGAAUAUGUCAUGUAGCGGUGAAAUGCUUAGAUAUGACAUAGAACACCAAUUGCGAAGGCAGCUGGCUACACAAAUAUUGACACUGAGGCACGAAAGCGUGGGGAUCAAACAGG